UACGUAGGGUGCGAGCGUUAAUCGGAAUUACUGGGCGUAAAGCGUGCGCAGGCGGUUUGGUAAGACAGACGUGAAAUCCCCGGGCGUUAACCCGGGUAACGUGCGUUUGUUGACUGUCAGACUAGAGUGUAGCAGAGGGGGGUAGGAAUUCCACGUGUAGCAGUAAAAUAGCGUAGAUAUGUGGAGGAAUACCAAUGGCGAAGGCAGCCCCCUCGGGUUAAG
Molecule: ribosomal RNA, 222 nt
Filed under: uncultured bacterium
Lineage: Bacteria
Description: partial 16S ribosomal RNA
Rfam family: Bacterial small subunit ribosomal RNA
Source: RNAcentral